UGACCUGAAAUACAGAGGAUAUCAAUGAAAUAUUUCUUCACAAGCCAAUGAUGAAAGAGAAAGGAUUGAUGAUGAAUAAUGUAUUAAAGAAAAAUAGUGUAUAUUGAUAACUAGCCAAAAAAGAUUUUCAAUGAUUGAAAAAGUACCA
Long non-coding RNA from Limulus polyphemus (Atlantic horseshoe crab), 148 nucleotides. RefSeq lists it as uncharacterized. Lineage: Eukaryota; Metazoa; Arthropoda; Merostomata; Xiphosura; Limulidae. The transcript has 4 exons. The record is from RefSeq and is a predicted model, not a curated record.